UGCGUAAAAAUGACUGCUUUUUCGAUGGGUAUUGAGAUGUUGAGCUCAGUCUUUCUCACCGAUGGUUGUUAAUAAAUGUCUCAAUAUGAGCACAAUCUGUUUGACGAAAUGUCUCAGUUUUCCUUCUUCCAAAAUGCUUGCAUAUCUCUUGGUCUUAAUAAAUCCAUCUGCACUGUUUUUUGGAACCAUUUUUAUUCUAUGUUUGUUGAUGUAAUAUAACUGUUUGAAGUUUGUUGAAGCUAAAUGCACUAUCCGGGGAUGUAUCGAAACUCCAACAUCUCUUGGGUAGCCACCAAGUGUCGGCGAAUAGGGAUAUGUUCCUUCAAUUGGUCAACUUGGCUUCCAGUCACAAAAUGUGGGCUUUUUCACACUGGCAUGUAGACUCUACAGAUGCAGAUCAAGUUUCACUCUGAUAACAAAUAUGAGAUACAUACUUCCAUCAUAAUCUAACAAUUCCUGAAAUUUAGUGCAUAUCUUUUCCUCUUAAUACAGGUUAACAAGGGAAUGGAGUUUGUUGGUGGUGAAAGUGAUGCAAAUGGGCAGGGUAAACGAGUAUUUUUGGAAAAUGCGAUGAUGGAUUUGUGCAUUUGGUACUAAAAGAUUUCAAAGGGAUCCAAUUCCUUGGGAUGAAAUGCAGAGAUUUGAUUUUUGAUAGAGCUACUUCAGCCAUAGACUUAAAGUAGAAAAUAUAUAAUGUUUAAAGGU
Carya illinoinensis is the source of this 705-nucleotide long non-coding RNA. RefSeq lists it as uncharacterized. Lineage: Eukaryota; Viridiplantae; Streptophyta; Magnoliopsida; Fagales; Juglandaceae. The transcript has 2 exons. The record is from RefSeq and is a predicted model, not a curated record.